GACGAACGCUGGCGGCGUGCUUAACACAUGCAAGUCGAACGGAAAGGCCCUGCUUUUGUGGGGUGCUCGAGUGGCGAACGGGUGAGUAACACGUGAGUAACCUGCCCUUGACUUUGGGAUAACUUCAGGAAACUGGGGCUAAUACCGGAUAGGAGCUCCUGCUGCAUGGUGGGGGUUGGAAAGUUUCGGCGGUUGGGGAUGGACUCGCGGCUUCUCGGCUUGUUGGUGGGGUAGUGGCUUACCAAGGCUUUGACGGGUAGCCGACCUGAGAGGGUGACCGGCAACCCGGGAACUGAGAAGCGGUCAAGAAUCGUACGGGAGGCAGCAGAAGGGAAGGGGCCGCAAUGGGGGAAAGCCUGACGGAGCAACGCCGCGUGAGGGAUGAAGGUCUUCGGAGCGUAAAACUCUGUUAUGAGGGAAGAACAAAUGUGUAAGUAACUAUGCACGUAGUGACGGGACCUAGUCAGAAAGCCACGGCUAACUACGUG
RNAcentral lists this ribosomal RNA (488 nucleotides) under uncultured bacterium. RNAcentral's name for it is "partial 16S ribosomal RNA". It matches the Rfam family "Bacterial small subunit ribosomal RNA", at positions 28 to 507 of the family's 1533-position model. The record is from RNAcentral.